RNAcentral lists this ribosomal RNA (1361 nucleotides) under uncultured bacterium. Its description in RNAcentral is "bacterial SSU rRNA". It matches the Rfam family "Bacterial small subunit ribosomal RNA". The record is from RNAcentral.
AGAGUUUGAUUCUGGCUCAGGAUGAACGCUGGCGGCGCGCCUAACACAUGCAAGUCGAACGGCACCCACCCUCGGGUGGAAGCGAGUGGCGAACGGCUGAGUAACACGUGGAGAACCUGCCCCCUCCCCCGGGAUAGCCGCCCGAAAGGACGGGUAAUACCGGAUACCCCGGGGUGCCGCAUGGCACCCCGGCUAAAGCCCCGACGGGAGGGGAUGGCUCCGCGGCCCAUCAGGUAGACGGCGGGGUGACGGCCCACCGUGCCGACAACGGGUAGCCGGGUUGAGAGACCGACCGGCCAGAUUGGGACUGAGACACGGCCCAGACUCCUACGGGAGGCAGCAGUGGGGAAUCUUGCGCAAUGGGGGGAACCCUGACGCAGCGACGCCGCGUGCGGGACGGAGGCCUUCGGGUCGUAAACCGCUUUCAGCAGGGAAGAGUCAAGACUGUACCUGCAGAAGAAGCCCCGGCUAACUACGUGCCAGCAGCCGCGGUAAUACGUAGGGGGCGAGCGUUAUCCGGAUUCAUUGGGCGUAAAGCGCGCGUAGGCGGCCCGGCAGGCCGGGGGUCGAAGCGGGGGGCUCAACCCCCCGAAGCCCCCGGAACCUCCGCGGCUUGGGUCCGGUAGGGGAGGGUGGAACACCCGGUGUAGCGGUGGAAUGCGCAGAUAUCGGGUGGAACACCGGUGGCGAAGGCGGCCCUCUGGGCCGAGACCGACGCUGAGGCGCGAAAGCUGGGGGAGCGAACAGGAUUAGAUACCCUGGUAGUCCCAGCCGUAAACGAUGGACGCUAGGUGUGGGGGGACGAUCCCCCCGUGCCGCAGCCAACGCAUUAAGCGUCCCGCCUGGGGAGUACGGCCGCAAGGCUAAAACUCAAAGGAAUUGACGGGGGCCCGCACAAGCAGCGGAGCAUGUGGCUUAAUUCGACGCAACGCGAAGAACCUUACCAAGUCUUGACAUCCCUUGACGAUGCUGGAAACAGUAUUUCUCUUCGGAGCAAGGAGACAGGUGGUGCAUGGUUGUCGUCAGCUCGUGUCGUGAGAUGUUGGGUUAAGUCCCGCAACGAGCGCAACCCUUAUGGUCAGUUACUACGCAAGAGGACUCUGGCCAGACUGCCGUUGACAAAACGGAGGAAGGUGGGGAUGACGUCAAAUCAUCAUGCCCUUUAUGACUUGGGCUACACACGUACUACAAUGGCGUUAAACAAAGAGAAGCAAGACCGCGAGGUGGAGCAAAACUCAGAAACAACGUCCCAGUUCGGACUGCAGGCUGCAACUCGCCUGCACGAAGUCGGAAUUGCUAGUAAUCGCAGAUCAGCAUGCCGCGGUGAAUACGUUCCCGGGUCUUGUACUCACCGCCCGUCA